AAUAUCUGAUGACAUUUAAAUUGAUGAUGUCACAAGUGAUACAAAGAGCACGACCAUUAAUUAUGCAUAUAUGUGUAAUUGAGGCUCAAAGGGUUAACAAAUAGAUUCCAUGUUGCUGUGCAUCUGUUCGCAGUAGAUCGCAGAUGAGGUCAAAAUGCGGUAAAAAAUAUACAGUGCAUGAGAUGAUAGCUGAGUGUGUCACUGAUGUUCUUACCACAUUUCGAUGUCUUCUUUGAUCUUUUACUGAACAAGCACAUGGCAACAUGGAACCAGUUCUAACCAGUGGAGAAGCCAAGAAGUGUUUUAAUAGGUCCAUUUGAUCAAAAGUAAGAACUAAUCAAAAUGUGAGAAUAAUUUGACUCACAUAAUUUAGGUUAUAUGGACACCUGAAGCAAGCCUGUCAAUGGUUAAAGUUCUAUUGGUUCUAAAGUUAAAAAGAUCAGUCAGAGGGUUAUGAGACAAUACUAAAACAAACUAUGAGUUCCCAGGGUAAUAAUAUUGCAAUAAUUGUUAAAUGGGAAUUGGCUGAACCAGAUAGCUAUGUUUUUUUAGGUCCAAACUUGUGUGCUUCAAUUUAACUUGAUAUAUUAGGCAGAUGAAUCAGCUUGACCUUUAAAACUAAUGAUGUUUUUUGUUUGAUCAAGGGAUCUGUAAUACUGGGAAGAUAAGAGGACAGGGAUAGGGACUUACAUGAAGACCCCUAACAAUUUCUGGAGACUCAAAUUAAGCAUUGUAUCUUAACAAUCACUGAGCUGGACUAUCAGACAGCAGUACGGUGGAUACAAAUCAGGACAAAGCAAGAAGAGGAUGAGCACAUUCACCAUCAUUCAAGAUGGAUGAUUUUAUCGCCGUCUAGGACCCAGGUAAACACGUGUUCUUAUGCACAAAACGUAAGUUGGCUCAGACUCUCAAUUAUCCUCCUGAAGUUGGAUCUGAGUGCACUCUUGACAACUUGCACAGCUUUCUAAAUUCCAUACUAUUUUUAGAUUAAUCUACAUUGAAAGGAGCUAUAUUGGGUUUGUUUAAUUAUCUUUAGUUGUUUCACUGUGAUUUCCUUCGUUUCGACAUGCUCCGAGUAAAAUAUAAUAGCCGAACGCUCGUAUGUGAACAAAAACAAAGGUGUGUCUGAUUAGGGCCCUUUAAGUAGAAUUUUCUGUCGUUCGCUGAUUCUUUGCGGGAGGGUGGAGUAAAUAACUAUAAUAAUUUUUCGGCGGAUUAGCUGCGAUUGAAUCUCGUUUUCGUUCACUUUUCUUAUGAUAACAUUAUUCAGGAGAAAAUGCGUGAAAAACUAUUCAAAAUAUAGAAACAAUCCCCUUGUUUUUUCGAGU
Orbicella faveolata is the source of this 1328-nucleotide long non-coding RNA. NCBI's taxonomy places the organism in Eukaryota, Metazoa, Cnidaria, Anthozoa, Scleractinia, Merulinidae. The record is from RefSeq and is a predicted model, not a curated record.